GGUUCUUUCGUUCAAUGGUAGGACAGGAGAUUGUGGUUCUCCUUAUUAGAGUUCGAUUCUCUAAGGAACCCCA
Molecule: transfer RNA, 73 nt
Filed under: Ackermannviridae sp.
Lineage: Duplodnaviria; Heunggongvirae; Uroviricota; Caudoviricetes; Pantevenvirales; Ackermannviridae
Description: tRNA-His
Rfam family: tRNA
About the family: Transfer RNA (tRNA) molecules are approximately 80 nucleotides in length. Their secondary structure includes four short double-helical elements and three loops (D, anti-codon, and T loops).
Source: RNAcentral